GCCCGUAUAGCUCAGUGGUAGAGCGCAUCACUCGUAUUCCCAAUCUGCGACAUGAUGAGGUCCGCGGUUCAAUCCCGCGUGGGGGCA
Copromyces sp. CBS 386.78 is the source of this 87-nucleotide non-coding RNA. The record is from the annotation of a GenBank genome assembly. NCBI's taxonomy places the organism in Eukaryota, Fungi, Ascomycota, Sordariomycetes, Sordariales, Sordariaceae.